GAUGAACGCUGGCGGCGUGCUUAACACAUGCAAGUCGAACGAAGCACUUUAUUUGAUUUCCUUCGGGACUGAUUAUUUUGUGACUGAGUGGCGGACGGGUGAGUAACGCGUGGGUAACCUGCCUUGUACAGGGGGAUAACAGUUGGAAACGGCUGCUAAUACCGCAUAAGCGCACGGCAUCGCAUGAUGCAGUGUGAAAAACUCCGGUGGUAUAAGAUGGACCCGCGUUGGAUUAGCUAGUUGGUGAGGUAACGGCCCACCAAGGCGACGAUCCAUAGCCGACCUGAGAGGGUGACCGGCCACAUUGGGACUGAGACGCGGCCCAAACUCCUACGGGAGGCAGCAGUGGGGAAUAUUGCACAAUGGGCGAAAGCCUGAUGCAGCGACGCCGCGUGAGCGAAGAAGUAUUUCGGUAUGUAAAGCUCUAUCAGCAGGGAAGAUAAUGACGGUACCUGACGAAGAAGCACCGGCUAAAUACGUG
Molecule: ribosomal RNA, 481 nt
Filed under: uncultured bacterium
Lineage: Bacteria
Description: partial 16S ribosomal RNA
Rfam family: Bacterial small subunit ribosomal RNA
Source: RNAcentral